Molecule: ribosomal RNA, 452 nt
Filed under: uncultured bacterium
Lineage: Bacteria
Description: bacterial SSU rRNA
Rfam family: Bacterial small subunit ribosomal RNA
Source: RNAcentral
AGAGUUUGAUCCUGGCUCAGAACGAACGCUGGCGGCAGGCUUAACACAUGCAAGUCGAGCGCCCCGCAAGGGGAGCGGCAGACGGGUGAGUAACGCGUGGGAAUCUACCCAUCUCUACGGAACAACUCCGGGAAACUGGAGCUAAUACCGUAUACGUCCUUCGGGAGAAAGAUUUAUCGGAGAUGGAUGAGCCCGCGUUGGAUUAGCUAGUUGGUGGGGUAAUGGCCUACCAAGGCGACGAUCCAUAGCUGGUCUGAGAGGAUGAUCAGCCACACUGGGACUGAGACACGGCCCAGACUCCUACGGGAGGCAGCAGUGGGGAAUUUUGGACAAUGGGCGAAAGCCUGAUCCAGCAAUGCCGCGUGCAGGAAGAAGGCCUUCGGGUUGUAAACUGCUUUUGUACGGAACGAAAAGGCUCUUUCUAAUAAAGGGGGCCCAUGACGGUACCGUAA